This 502-nucleotide ribosomal RNA is filed under the name uncultured bacterium. Its description in RNAcentral is "bacterial SSU rRNA". It matches the Rfam family "Bacterial small subunit ribosomal RNA", at positions 17 to 507 of the family's 1533-position model. The record is from RNAcentral.
UCCUGGCUCAGAGUGAACGCUGGCGGCAGGCCUAAUACAUGCAAGUCGAACGGCAGCACAGCAGAGCUUGCUCUGUGGGUGGCGAGUGGCGGACGGGUGAGGAAUACGUGGGAAUCUGCCCAGUCGUGGGGGGAUAACGUAGGGAAACUUACGCUAAUACCGCAUGCGCCCUUCGGGGGAAAGCCGGGGACCUUCGGGCCUGGCGCGAUUGGAUGAGCCCACGUCGGAUUAGCUAGUUGGCGGGGUAAAGGCCCACCAAGGCGACGAUCCGUAGCUGGUCUGAGAGGAUGAUCAGCCACACUGGAACUGAGACACGGUCCGGACUCCUACGGGAGGCAGCAGUAGGGAAUAUUGGACAAUGGGCGCAAGCCUGAUCCAGCCAUGCCGCGUGAGUGAAGAAGGCCCUCGGGUUGUAAAGCUCUUUCGUCCGGAAAGAAAAGCGCCGGGUUAAUACCCUGGUGUCCUGACGGUACCGGAAGAAUAAGCACCGGCUAACUUCGUG